UGGGGAAUAUUGGACAAUGGGGGCAACCCUGAUCCAGCAAUGCCGCGUGUGUGAAGAAGGCCUUCGGGUUGUAAAGCACUUUAGUUGGGGAGGAAGUUGCGACUUUUAAGAGAUAUCGUAAUUGACUGUACCCAAAGAAUAAGCACCGGCUAACUCUGUGCCAGCAGCCGCGGUAAUACAGAGGGUGCGAGCGUUAAUCGGAAUUACUGGGCGUAAAGGGCGCGUAGGCGGUUAGAUAAGUUGGAUGUGAAAUCCCUGGGCUUAACCUAGGAACUGCAUCCGAAACUGUGUAGCUGGAGUGCUGUAGAGGGUAGUGGAAUUUCCGGUGUAGCGGUGAAAUGCGUAGAUAUCGGAAGGAACACCAGUGGCGAAGGCGGCUACCUGGACAGACACUGACGCUGAGGCCCGAGAGCGUGGGGAGCAAACAGG
Molecule: ribosomal RNA, 429 nt
Filed under: uncultured bacterium
Lineage: Bacteria
Description: bacterial SSU rRNA
Rfam family: Bacterial small subunit ribosomal RNA
Source: RNAcentral